UACGAAGGGGGCUAGCGUUGCUCGGAAUCACUGGGCGUAAAGCGCACGUAGGCGGCUUUUUAAGUCAGGGGUGAAAUCCUGGAGCUCAACUCCAGAACUGCCUUUGAUACUGGGAAGCUUGAGUCCGGGAGAGGUGAGUGGAACUCCGAGUGUAGAGGUGAAAUUCGUAGAUAUUCGGAAGAACACCAGUGGCGAAGGCGGCUCCCUGGCCCGGUACUGACGCUGAGGUGCGAAAGCGUGGGGAGCAAACAGG
This 253-nucleotide ribosomal RNA is filed under the name uncultured bacterium. Its description in RNAcentral is "partial 16S ribosomal RNA". It matches the Rfam family "Bacterial small subunit ribosomal RNA", at positions 524 to 776 of the family's 1533-position model. The record is from RNAcentral.